UAUUUUGAAAAAAAAAACUUCGCAGGCAUGUUUUAUAUAAGUAUGGCCCUAAAAUAUAAAUAUAAAUGUAUGUAUUUAUCAAUUAUCAACAUUAUACAUUUGUAUGAUCAAUGUAGUAAAUUAUAAUCUUACUCAUUAACCUAUUCAAUUUAAAGGACUGUACGAAUAAAGUUAUUCUGAUUCUGGAGCUAAACACCAGUUACUUUAUCAAUUACUCGAUUUAAAAGGCUAUAUAAGUAUUCAGUCUAUAAACUUAACAUUAUAGAACUAUCAACCUAGGAUUACAUUACUCUGACUUCAUUCAAUAUUCAAUGUAAAGACUAUGCAUGUUAACAUCAUUACAUUACUUAAAGGGGACCUAUCAUGCAAAAUGCACCUUUGGACGUCUUUUAUACAUGAAUAUGUGUCCCCGGUGUUCCAGGGAACUCACCAAGUGUCAGAAAACACAACCCUCUCUAUUUUCCUCCUUCGCCAAAUCUCUGAAAAAGGGGCUGAAACAGAUCUGAAAAAAACGGAUCCAGAUUUCAACACUUUCCUACGUCACAAAGAGACGUGCUCCGCUUAUUGGUCAACUAUCCACCUAUCAGGGGAAUGAGCCACGGCCACUGCCAAACCUCUCAUUCGCAUAUAGGCUAUCGGCAGGCUAAAUCAACUCCAGUCACAUCUGUGUUUUUGUCUGCUCUUGCCAGGAUGUCUAAGCGAGUUAAACUUUGUGCUGUUGUUGGCUGCAAGACUCGAGAAGGGGGACUGCAUGCAAUGCCAUCAGUGGAAAAAGAAAAUAAUCUGUGGCUAGACUUCAUUUUCAAGGGACAUGUGCCAGAAGACCACGGCAGAUUUCUGUUUGUGUGUUCCAAACAUUUUACCACGGACAUGUUUAUGAACUUCUCUCAAGUCCAACACGGAUAUGCCUCCAAGCUAAUGCUAAACCCGGGAUCAAUACCAACCAUCCGGGAGCAGGCCAGUGAGGACACAUCCAAUUUUGAAGCUGCCAGCACCUCACAUGCUACCAGCAGAUUACCUGUGAUGACAGAUUCUGCAUGUCAGACUGACCCACCCAAGUACCGUACUGUUCGUACACAGCUAUCCUCGAGGACUCUUGGUUCACAUCGAAGUACAGCUGUCCAGGCUAAAAUUCCCUGCAGAAGCGUUGAUGUCGAAACACUUCCGUUGGAAGUGCCAGUGCCCUUUUUAACAUCCACCCCCUUAAAGAGACCACCAAAGAGGCCCCGUGUGGAUCUUGAAGAGGAAUACGAAGAUCCAUUUGAGGGAAGCUCUUCUUUGGUGUUUUCCGAAGGCCAGGAUGCAACUUAUGAUCCAGCAGAAUCCAUAACAAAUGCUACAGAAACAACAGCCAUGUCUGGUCAAGAACAAAACCCCCCCCAGACGAUCAACACAUACAUCGUGUAUGAGACCUGCCUCAUGGAGCUUUUUGAAUCAUGUCCUGUGUGCAAGCGUGUGUGUGAUGUACAAACCAGAAAGAUCGGUACAUUCAUAUCAGUGCAGCAGCUGUGCCCCCAUUGUCAGUUUACAAGAAACUGGAAUAGCCAGCCUGUUCUUGGGAGUACUCCAGUUGGAAACCUGCAGCUAUCAGUUGCAACAUAUGUCAACGGAGCAUCUUUCUACAAACUUUCAAAGGUCUUCAAAGCAAUGAAUAUGCAGCUAUGCAAAUACAACACCUUCCGAAGGCAUGCCAGGAUGUUCAUUGAGCCAGCGAUUGUUUCUUACUGGCAAAAAUCACAGGAAGGCAUGCUACAGAAGCUCCAUGCAGAGGAGAAAGUGAUAGUUGGUGGUGAUAUGAGGGCUGACUCCCCAGGCCACUCUGCAAAGUUCGGAAGCUACACUAUGAUGGACCUGAAGAACAACAAAGUCGUUGACCUCCAGUUGGUUCAGAGCAAUGAGGUUGGUGGAAGCUACCACAUGGAGUUAGAGGGCCUGAAAAGGAGUCUGGAGUUGUUAAAGGAACGUGGUGUGACUCUGGACUGUAUUGUCACGGACAGACAUCUGCAAAUUCAGAAAUUCCUAAGGGAAAGCAGCAUCACCCAAUUCUUUGAUGUGUGGCACAUAGAAAAAGAGAUUUCUAAGCAACUGGAGAAGGCUGCAAAAAAGAAGGACUGCGAAAAACUUCGAGGGUGGGUGAAGAGUAUAAGAAACCACAUAUACUGGACUGCAGCAACCUCCACCACCGGGCCUGAGAGAGUGGCCAAAUGGACUUCCAUCCUGAACCACGUGCAGGAUAUCCACUCUCAUGAUGACCCCCUGUUCCCCAAGUGCCUUCAUCCACUGCGCAUUGCGCAAUACCAAUGGAUGGCUGCAGGUAUGUUGUUCAUAAACCAUAUUACAUUACUCCUCUAUAAAUAUUUGAACGCCGGCCUUUCACAAGCUGGAGACAAUUCUCUCAACCAAGAGGAUUUUGAAAGCUGUGGCCAAACUCAGCCCACACCACCAGACUUAAUCUUUGGAGUCAUUCCAUGCCGUCAUCCUGCGCUUUGCUCCAAAGAAUGUUGUGUUUCCAUUUCUUGGAAUGUUGUGCAGACUGUACCUGGCAGCCCUGCACUACAAUGAAAACGCUGAGCGUGCACAAGCCACUACAUCCACUGGAAAGCCUCUGUAUAAACUGCAGUUCCCAAAGGCCAGGAAGGGAGAAUGCAGAGCAAAACCAGUAAAGACUGACCCCACAUUCUGCUACGUGGCCAACUUGAUGGACCUCAUCUUCGACCAAGUCUUUGUGGACCCUGCACCAUUCACACAGGAGCUUCUGAAGAUACCCAUCCCAGAGGACCUGUGUUCCCAAUAUGAGCGACCUGACAGGGAGGAGGUCAUCUCCGGGUAUGCUACUCGGUUCAAUUUGGCUGCUGUCUGAACCCAACAUAGAUAUUUCGCGGAUCAGGAAACUCUCUGCGAAUCCUGAGGACAACGCAGGCCGGAAUCACCACUCUGAUCCUGCGUCCAAGGAAGCCCCAGCACCAGCUCACAAAGCUUCUGUAGGCUAGAUACCUGUGACGCCUGAAAUCAUUAAAAAAAAUA
Molecule: RNA transcript, 3024 nt
Organism: Gymnodraco acuticeps
Lineage: Eukaryota; Metazoa; Chordata; Actinopteri; Perciformes; Bathydraconidae
Exons: 11
Source: RefSeq, a predicted model, not a curated record